Molecule: ribosomal RNA, 440 nt
Filed under: uncultured bacterium
Lineage: Bacteria
Description: partial 16S ribosomal RNA
Rfam family: Bacterial small subunit ribosomal RNA
Source: RNAcentral
CCUACGGGUGGCAGCAGUGGGGAAUAUUGCACAAUGGGGGAAACCCUGAUGCAGCAACGCCGCGUGAGUGAUGAAGUAUUUCGGUAUGUAAAGCUCUAUCGGCAGGGAAGAUAAUGACGGUAUCUGACGAAUAAGCCCCGGCUAACUACGUGCCAGCAGCCGCGGUAAUACGUAGGGUGCAAGCGUUAUCCGGAGUUACUGGGUGUAAAGGGAGCGUAGACGGGUAAUCAAGUCAGAAGUGAAAACCCAGGGCUCAACGAUAGGACUGCAUUUGAAACUGAGUAUCUAGAGUGCAGGAGAGGUAGGCGGAAUUCUUAGUGUAGCGGUGAAAUGCGUAGAGAUUAGGAGGAACACUAGUUGCGAAGGCGGCCUACUGGAACGUAACUGACGCUGAGGCUCGAAAGCGUGGGGAGCAAACAGGAUUAGAUACCCCAGUAGUC